CAGACUACCCCACUCAAGAACAGCAGUUGCAUUUUAUUCGUCAUUACCUGGCAGAGGCAAAGAAAGGCAUCCAUGUCCACCAUAGAAUUUGGUUACUUGGACUAUGCCCAGUCUCGGUUCCAGUUCUACUUCCAGCAGAAGGGGCAGCUGACCAGUGUCCACUCCUCAUCCUGACUCCACCCUCCCACUCCUUGGAUUUCUCCUGGAGCCUCCAGGGCAGGACCUUGGAGGGAGGAACAACGAGCAGAAGGCCCUGGCGACUGGGCUGAGCCCCCAAGUGAAACUGAGGUUCAGGAGACCGGCCUGUUCCUGAGUUUGACUCUAAAGCCACCAUCCUCACGAGACUCUGGGGCCCCCCAGGCUCCCAGACCUUUGAGCAACCUUCACCGCACAGAAACCCAGCCGCGCCCUGCAAUUCCCACCGCGGAAGGUGCCGACCAACCCCCAGGAUGGCGGAAGCUCACCAGGCCGUGGCCUUCCAGUUCACGGUGACCCCAGACGGGGUCGACUUCCGGCUCAGUCGGGAGGCCCUGAAACACGUCUACC
RNAcentral lists this long non-coding RNA (546 nucleotides) under Homo sapiens (human). RNAcentral describes it as "non-protein coding lnc-CPT1B-1:4". Lineage: Eukaryota; Metazoa; Chordata; Mammalia; Primates; Hominidae. The record is from RNAcentral.